UGGCAGCCCAAAAUCGAAAGGGGCAGAAGUACCUAGAAACCCUAGACUUCCAAACCUUGUCAUCUAUACCAAACCAGUCACGUAUACGGUAUACCCAUUUCAUUUCUCUUUCUCUCUCUCACAUUAUCCCUUAGCAAGCGCCAAACGUCUGCAUAUUCAAAGCUUCUUACAAUCUUCGAUUGCUUUGUCUCUCAUCUGUUAGACAUUUGCCGCAUUUCGUCUCCUUUACCAGAUUGAAGAGAUUGGUAGAAGCUUUUGGAGAAGAAAUGCUGAUACUUAUUUUUCCAAGACUGGGAAAUAUACCAUUUCAAGUCGCAUUGGAAAAAGUUCUAUAUCCACUUAACAACUACGAUCUUUUGACAAGAGGGGAUGUCUUAUUUACAUUGGCUCUCUCAAAUCUUUGAAUCUGAUGUGCAAGAUUGUCUAUUUAGUGCUCCUUAGUUAAACUUUUACACAUUUGGAGGUUACCGUCAAAUGUCAGAAGGUGAAAUGGAAAUAAUCAAACCAGAGGUCAUGAAAUCUUAUAUUUGGCUCCAAACCGCUGAUGGCUCAAUACAAGAAGUGGAAGAAGAGGUUGCCAUGUUUUGCCCUAUGAUAUGUCGAGAAAUAGUUCAGACAGGAAUGGGAUCUUCUAAAAAUUAUGCUAUUUCACUUCCGCAAAGGGUUAAUCCAGCUAUUUUGAGUUUAAUACUGGACUAUUGUCGGUUCCAUCAAGUACCAGGUCGCUCCAAUAAGGAGCGAAAGUCUUUUGACGAGAAGUUCAUUCGGAUAGACACAAAAAGAUUAUGUGAGUUGACAUCUGCUGCUGACAGCCUCCAGUUGAAGCCUUUGGUUGAUCUUACAAGCCGUGCUCUUGCACGCAUGAUUGAAGGGAAAACCCCUGAGGAGAUACGUGAGACAUUUCAUUUGCCUGAUGAUCUUACGGAGGAGGAAAAGCUGGAGCCUUUGAGAAACACAGCAGAUGACCCUCGGAUUCGGCUAUUGAAUAGGCUUUAUGCCAGAAAGAGGAAAGAACUUAAAGAGAAAGAAAAAAUGAAGAAUGUUGAAGUAGAAGAGGAGCGUGUGGACGAACGCUCCGUUGAUGAUCUCUUGUCAUUCAUCAAUGGAGGUGAUGGAGGUUCCAAGGGAGUUAGAGCUCCUAAACAUAAGAAGAAAAACCGAAGAAGGAAAGACCAUUCAAAAGAUCCUUCAUCAAACAAUGUAAACAAAAGCCACAAGGAGAUGGAUGAUCUCUCUCCUGUAUGCCGUAAAGAAGAUAAGUCUAGAAAUGGUUAUGUGGCCAGUCCCAGUAAAUCGGUUAAAUUUCAAGCUGCAGAUGAUGGCUUUUCCCCAAAGGUUGAGUUUGAUGAUGGUGAUAUGGACGAUGAAUUAGAUCCUGCAAUGAAGGAAGAACUUGAUAGAUUGUGGGGCCGUCGCUUUGUGUGAAGUUGGAUGGUGGAAAGCUCAAGCUUCCAGCUUGAAGACAUGGGUUCGAGUCUUAAGAGUGGCCACUUUGUGCGGAAGGGAAACCAAUGUUUUGCACCGCUUCUGAUCCAACCCUCCCAUGACCCUACUAAUCAAGUUGCAGCCCCUUUUUCCUUAUCUACUGCCUUAGAAAGGUUUAUCGGAUAUGGUCUUAGUAAGUAGCGUUGAAGUGGAUAUCAUGCAAUGUCUAUUGGUUAUGAUAUAUGGAGUGGAAUGUUGGGUAGUUAAGAAGCAUCAUGUAGAAAAACUUAGUGUAGCGGAGAUGAGGAUGUUGAAGUGGUAAAACGAGGAAGGCUAAAGGCAGGAUUGAUCAUAUUAGAGUUGGUAUGAGAGUAGCUCCAUACUUGAUAAGUGAUGCGGAUCCGGGUUUGGGUUCCAAAAGUCGGAAUCGGAUCUCUUAUGGGCCCACAAUUAACAAAUAAUUCAAUUUAAACAAAACAGUGGCAGUAAUGUAAUUUAUGGCACAACUUAAAAACCCCUUUUAGAAUGAAAUAGCUGAAUGGGGACAGAUCUGGAAUUAAUCCGAAAGAAAACUCAAUUCUGGAAAUUUAUUUGGUGUUUCUAAUAAAGAGUGGGAGAAUUGUAAUUAUAAGUCACCAAGCUAAUAAAUAGGAGACAAGGAAUAACGUGAGAUGAGGGAGGGGUAUUCCUGGAAAGAUGGGUAAAAACUGAUACUUAAGGUAAUAACCAAGUAAAGGGAAGGGCAAUAGAGGAACAAAAGAAAUUAGGGUAAGAUACCACUCAUGAUAGAAAGUAUUCUUCCUUAAGAUCAAAACAGGGCAGGCGAUGAUGAGAAACUUCAGUUCAAGAGGGCUUCUCAGUUAGGCUUCGGCUUGGCCUAAACCCUCAAAGGAAAGGUCGCUGCUGCAUGUCGUCUAUGAAUCCAGCACCACAAGACCUCAACAGCCCAGAUCUGAAUGUGAAUCGAAUCUGCAACUAGGCUUGGUGGUGGGAAGUGGAGGAUUUUGCUAGGAGACUGAAUUCAGACUGGCCUGAGAGGAUGCAAGAGAUUCUUUCUUCGGGUCAAGAAAGAAGGCUUGUACCAAUAUCUAUGAAUGGCAAUGGUUCCUUGCAAAGAUAU
Macadamia integrifolia is the source of this 2545-nucleotide RNA transcript. It is a transcript of the gene named SKP1-like protein 21, with no coding region annotated. NCBI's taxonomy places the organism in Eukaryota, Viridiplantae, Streptophyta, Magnoliopsida, Proteales, Proteaceae. The record is from RefSeq and is a predicted model, not a curated record. The transcript is spliced from 10 exons.